Triticum aestivum (bread wheat) is the source of this 115-nucleotide non-coding RNA. The record is from Rfam. Lineage: Eukaryota; Viridiplantae; Streptophyta; Magnoliopsida; Poales; Poaceae.
CUUGUACUCCCUCCGUCCGAAAAUACUUGUCAUUGAAAUGGAUGUAUCUAGAUGUAUUUUAGUUCUAGACACAUCCAUUUUGAUGAUAAGUAAUUCCGGACGGAGGGAGUACUUG